Molecule: ribosomal RNA, 404 nt
Filed under: uncultured bacterium
Lineage: Bacteria
Description: bacterial SSU rRNA
Rfam family: Bacterial small subunit ribosomal RNA
Source: RNAcentral
GAAUAUUGCACAAUGGGCGAAAGCCUGAUGCAGCGACGCCGCGUGGGGGAUGACGGUCUUCGGAUUGUAAACCCCUUUCAGUAGGGACGAAGCGCAAGUGACGGUACCUGCAGAAGAAGCACCGGCUAACUACGUACCAGCAGCCGCGGUAAUACGUAGGGUGCGAGCGUUGUCCGGAAUUACUGGGCGUAAAGAGCUCGUAGGCGGUUUGUCACGUCGUCUGUGAAAUCCCUCGGCUUAACCGGGGGCGUGCAGGCGAUACGGGCAGACUUGAGUACUACAGGGGAGACUGGAAUUCCUGGUGUAGCGGUGAAAUGCGCAGAUAUCAGGAGGAACACCGGUGGCGAAGGCGGGUCUCUGGGUAGUAACUGACGCUGAGGAGCGAAAGCAUGGGUAGCGAACAG